GAAUUCGCCCUUAGAGUUUGAUCCUGGCUCAGAUUGAACGCUGGCGGCAUGCCUUACACAUGCAAGUCGAACGGCAGCGCGGGGCAACCUGGCGGCGAGUGGCGAACGGGUGAGUAAUAUAUCGGAACGUACCCUGGAGUGGGGGAUAACGUAGCGAAAGUUACGCUAAUACCGCAUACGAUCUAAGGAUGAAAGUGGGGGCUCGCAAGACCUCAUGCUCCUGGAGCGGCCGAUAUCUGAUUAGCUAGUUGGUGGGGUAAAGGCCUACCAAGGCAUCGAUCAGUAGCUGGUCUGAGAGGACGACCAGCCACACUGGAACUGAGACACGGUCCAGACUCCUACGGGAGGCAGCAGUGGGGAAUUUUGGACAAUGGGCGCAAGCCUGAUCCAGCAAUGCCGCGUGAGUGAAGAAGGCCUUCGGGUUGUAAAGCUCUUUUGUCAGGGAAGAAACGGUGGGAGCUAAUAUCUCUUGCUAAUGACGGUACCUGAAGAAUAAGCACCGGCUAACUACGUGCCAGCAGCCGCGGUAAUACGUAGGGUGCAAGCGUUAAUCGGAAUUACUGGGCGUAAAGCGUGCGCAGGCGGUUUUGUAAGUUUGUCGUGAAAUCCCCGGGCUCAACCUGGGAAUGGCGAUGAAGACUGCAAGGCUAGAAUCUGGCAGAGGGGGGUAGAAUUCCACGUGUAGCAGUGAAAUGCGUAGAGAUGUGGAGGAACACCGAUGGCGAAGGCAGCCCCCUGGGUCAAGAUUGACGCUCAUGCACGAAAGCGUGGGGAGCAAACAGGAUUAGAUACCCUGGUAGUCCACGCCCUAAACGAUGUCUACUAGUUGUCGGGUUUUAAUUAACUUGGUAACGCAGCUAACGCGUGAAGUAGACCGCCUGGGGAGUACGGUCGCAAGAUUAAAACUCAAAGGAAUUGACGGGGGCAAGGGCGAAUUC
This 938-nucleotide ribosomal RNA is filed under the name uncultured bacterium. RNAcentral's name for it is "bacterial SSU rRNA". It matches the Rfam family "Bacterial small subunit ribosomal RNA", at positions 1 to 932 of the family's 1533-position model. The record is from RNAcentral.